AGUUUCUGGGCGCGGAGCGGGGUGGGCGUGUCCGAGCUCCCGGCGAGGCGACCGGCCUCACAUAUAUAUACAUAUAUAUAAACUGUGUGAGUGUGUUUAAAGAACUGCAAUUUGCUUUUUAAGUUAAAAAAUUAAACUAGUUUCAAACCUAUAGAAAUGUUGCCAGAAUAAAAAAAACCUCUUAUUUUUCAGACAGGGUUUUGUGAAGUGAAGCGGGGUGAUCAUGGGCCACGGCAACCUUGUCCCAUCCGGGAACUUGCGUGACGUUUGGGGGCCGUGCCUCCUUAGCUUCCUCCAGUUUGGGACGAUCGUGAACGCAGCUCUGUCCGGUGUUGCUUCAGGACCAGACGGAGGUCACGCGUCUGUGCGGGACGAUCGCGGAAGUGAUGCUGGGAUCCGCUCCUCUGCUUGGUCUCGGGCACAUGUUUAUUAUCUCCUGGCCACAGUGGGAGCCGUGCUCUCUCUCCUUUACAUCCGGCCGUAUUCCCAGAGCUUUCGUUUCCACGUGGCACAUGUUCAUGCUCGUUUUGGGUACCCAGUGCUCAGUACGUUGUUGGACAAAGAUACCGCAAAGGAACUGGUGCAGUGA
Molecule: long non-coding RNA, 589 nt
Filed under: Aotus nancymaae (Ma's night monkey)
Lineage: Eukaryota; Metazoa; Chordata; Mammalia; Primates; Aotidae
Description: lncRNA (ENSANAG00000039568.1)
Source: RNAcentral